ACUAAUUCUAGCCCAAACUAUAUAAACUCAAUCAUACCCCUACAUAAACCAAAACAUUUUCCCAUAUAAAGUAUUGGAGAAAAAAAUUAUAUCAAGGAGCUAUAGAGCUAGUACCGUAAGGGAAAGAUGAAAGAUUAAUUAAAAGUAAAAACAAGCAAAGACUAAACCUUGUACCUUUUGCAUAAUGAAUUAACUAGAAAAAUCUUAGCUAAACGAAUUAAAGUCAAAACCCCCGAAACCAAACGAGCUACCUAAAAACAAUUAUUUGAACUAACCCGUCUAUGUAGCAAAAUAGUGGGAUGAUUUCUAGGUAGAGGUGAAAAGCCUAACGAGCUUGGUGAUAGCUGGUUACCCAAAAAAUGAAUUUAAGUUCAACUUUAAGCUUACCAUAAGAAUAUAAAAUCUAAAUGUAAGCUUAAAAUAUAGCCAAAAGAGGGACAGCUCUUUAGGAACGGAAAAAACCUUUCAUAGUGAANNNNNNNNNNNAUGACAUAACCAUUGUAGGCCUAAAAGCAGCCAUCAAUAAAGAAAGCGUUCAAGCUCAACAUUAAAAUUAAUCAAUUUAAUACUUAACUAUAAAUUCCUAUAUUAUAUAUUGGGUUAAUCUAUUACUUCAUAGAUGAGACACUGUUAAUAUGAGUAACAAGAAUAUUAUUCUCCAAGCACAAGCCUAUAACAACUCGGAUAACCAUUGUUAGUUAAAGGAAUUUAGACUAUAACUUUAAAUUUAAUAACCUAAAAUUUCAACCGUUAAUCCAACACAGGAGUGCUUUAAGGAAAGAUUAAAAAGAAUAAAAGGAACUCGGCAAAUACGAGCCCCGCCUGUUUACCAAAAACAUCACCUCUAGCAUUACAAGUAUUAGAGGCAUUGCCUGCCCAGUGACUAAAGUUAAACGGCCGCGGUAUCUUGACCGUGCAAAGGUAGCAUAAUCACUUGUUCCUUAAUUAGGGACUAGCAUGAACGGCUAAACGAGGGCUCAACUGUCUCUUAUUCUCAAUCAGUGAAAUUGACCUUCCAGUGAAGAGGCUGGAAUACAACAAUAAGACGAGAAGACCCUAUGGAGCUUCAAUUAACUAGCUUAAUUAUCAAAACAUUAACCUAAUGGACUAAAAAUGAAAACAUAAGCUAAAAAUUUCGGUUGGGGUGACCUCGGAGAAUAAAAAAUCCUCCGAAUGAUUUUAGCAUAGACUAAUAAGCCAAAGCAACUUACUAAUCCUAUUGACCCAAAGUACUUUGAUCAACGGACCAAGUUACCCUAGGGAUAACAGCGCAAUCCUAUUUAAGAGUUCAUAUCGACAAUUUAGGGUUUACGACCUCGAUGUUGGAUCAGGACAUCCCAAUGGUGCAGAAGCUAUUAAUGGUUCGUUUGUUCAACGAUUAAAGUCCUACGUGAUCUGAGUUCAGACCGGAGUAAUCCAGGUCGGUUUCUAUCUAUUCACAAUUUCUCCCAGUACGAAAGGACAAGAGAAAUAGAGCCACCUUAUAUACAAGCGCUCUCAACCCAAUUUAUGAACAAAAUCUUAAUAAAAUAGUUAUGUAUAACUAUAAUUACCUAGACAAGGUU
Molecule: ribosomal RNA, 1565 nt
Filed under: Aethomys nyikae (Nyika rock rat)
Lineage: Eukaryota; Metazoa; Chordata; Mammalia; Rodentia; Muridae
Description: 16S ribosomal RNA
Rfam family: Bacterial large subunit ribosomal RNA
Source: RNAcentral